CAGAAAUCAGACUAACCCAAAGUAGCGCCCACGUGGAAGGGCCAGAAAUGUCAGGGACUUCAUUGUUCGGGCUGACACUUAUGUCCCCCUGAAAAUCAAUGAUGGACGACUGGACGAGGUGACCGGUUUCUACCCCUGCCGUAGUUGUGCGGCAUAUAGGGACUACUGUAAAAAAAUCACUUUAUCACCACUACCAUCAAUACUCCUCCAGCACCCAGUGUGUGUGUGUGUGUGUGUGUGUGUGUGUGUGUGUGUGUGUGAGUGAGACGCUGUCAUUCAUCUGGUCACUGUCAUCUGGUCUCUGGGACAUCUGGUCUCUGGGACAUCUGGUCUCUGGCACAUCUGGUCUCUGGCAUCUCUUUCAAAAUUUCUGGUAUGGAAACAAAGAAUUACAUGAGGUUAUUGAAAUAAGUCAUUUAAUAUCAAACAUGAUUUACAUAAUGUAAGCAAUGUGUUACUUACCACGCAGACUAUGACGUUUCACCUCUCUCCAUUGCUCAACAUCCAAUCCAUUCUCACAGACUCCAAACCCAUGGAAACAGUGGCAGCUGAGGUUUCUGGUUGCCUCUAACCCGUCCUUGACUGUUUUGAUGCAAUGCAACUUCAUGGUGGCAGGCACUUGCUUCAGACUACGGUGACUUCCCCUCACUGGGAAUGAAGAACAUGGUAUGGAGGUAAUGGGUACAGGUAUCUGGAGAUGCUUACUUUGUCAGAUUGUCUCUGCUGUAGUUGUAGAGCUCCUUUGCGUUUCUGAUCAGGGCUCGGCCAACCUUCACUGCUGUGGUUGCAUGGCUCUUGAUUACUGCACUUUCCCCAUCACUGGCACCUUGACCAUGUCUGGAGCCAGAAUUGUUGUGUUGUAUGGGGAAACCAAAAUCAGACACAGCUUAGCUAACAUCAGAUAUAGGUCCUUUUGAUUUGUAUUGUGCCCCACAGCCGUCAGAGUAUCUGUAGACCUUGUUGGGCUUCAGAUUUCUUUGGUUUUUUAGGUGAUCAAUUAUCUGCAGUUUGAAAUGCAUUGACUGCAUUGUAGUCAUGCUUGACGUCAUCUGAUAUCAUUAUACAACUGUCUGUGAUGGUCUUCUGGCAUUUCCCACAUUUGUAGUACAUUACCAAGGGGUGCAGUGUAGCACUCUAUUGGGUCCAGUAAGCCCCCUGGGCCUCUUGCUGGUACCUGCAAGUGUAGUUCUCGGCAAUGUCCAGGAUGCCCAAUGCUGUGUGUUCUGGGAGGUUGGCUGUCACUUUUGCAAGUUGCUUGUUCUGCCAGUCCUUGAUAAACAAGUGUUCUGAAAAAGCCUGAGCCUCUUGUUUCAGUUCAUCAAUAAACCUCUUCAUAGAUCCACGCUUACAGACCAGUGAUCAUUUUUUAUGGUGUACUCUUGUUUCCCAUUUGUUACUUUUUGUCUGACAAUCUCCCAUCUUUUCCACUCUAUGUCAGUGUCCUUUUUUUUUUUAGGAGGGGGCAAUAAAUGGAUCUAAUCUAUGGACACCACAAUCCUUGCACUGCAAUGUCAAGAAAGCUGGCUGCCUUCCCAUUCUUCUUACUCAACUUUUUCUUAUCUGGCACAUUGUGAGAGACUGCUUCAUAGAUAUUUUUCUACUGCUGAGACUGUAGAUUGAGGUAAUCUAUAUGUCGACCUCAUGGGCUUUUUUCUACUGACCCCAAAUCUUUUUGCAAACUGUCUCUGUAGUUUGUAUUUCUUAAUCAUAUUCAGUGAACAAGCCAAAGCUUUCCUAGUUGCAGAUUGUCUGGACUUUGAUAGGCCUUUGGCUACUGCUUCAACAACUGCCACAUCCUUCUUCUGAUGUUAAAUGGCUGCCUUCCUCGGUGAGGCCUUGUCAAUGAGGUCCAUGGUAGUAGUGACACUAUGCUGCCUGUUUUGACAUACAGGCUUUAUCCCUUUAAAAGCUCUUCCAUCCAGCAGAUGGAACCCGUAUAUCUAGCCCUGCUGUCUGCAAGGCUCUUUUAAAAUGUUCAAGUUGCUUUCUGCAUUCUUCUAAUUUAUCCUCUAGUUCCUUGAGACAAAUUUUCUCUGCCUCCAAUUUCUCUUGUUGUGCUUUCAUCUGCUUUGCCUGGUCAUUCUGCUUUGCCUUUUCUUUGUUCUGACCAUAUUUUUCCCGUCAUUUAGCUUUGUCUUUUUCAUGCUCCUCUUUUGACCUAGCUGCUCUCUGUUCACAUUUUCUUAAAACCAGCUUUGUAUUCUUCUUGUUCUUUUUCUGCAAUUCUGUUCUUGUAAGUGUUUUCUAAACACAUUUUUGGUUGCUCUGGGCGUCCUCUCUUCACUUUGCUCUCACCUUCCGCAUUCUCUGGGAAGCACUGGCAUUAUAUAUAUUUUUCAGCUGCUGCAGCUUUUCUGCCUUCUCCCUCUCUUUGCUUGAAAUGUUCCUAUUUUUUAGGAUACUGUCAGCAAGGGUCAUCUCAUGUCUAUAUGUUUUGUUGUCCUUUGUUUUUGUUUUUUUACUUUGAACCUGUAAAAUUAUUGUAAAUACGACACACACACAAUU
Coregonus clupeaformis (lake whitefish) is the source of this 2505-nucleotide long non-coding RNA. RefSeq lists it as uncharacterized. The record is from RefSeq and is a predicted model, not a curated record. NCBI's taxonomy places the organism in Eukaryota, Metazoa, Chordata, Actinopteri, Salmoniformes, Salmonidae. The transcript has 3 exons.